GGUUAAGCGACUAAGCGUACACGGUGGAUGCCCUGGCAGUCAGAGGCGAUGAAGGACGUGCUAAUCUGCGAAAAGCGUCGGUAAGGUGAUAUGAACCGUUAUAACCGGCGAUGUCCGAAUGGGGAAACCCAGUGCAAUUCGUUGCACUAUCGUUAACUGAAUACAUAGGUUAACGAGGCGAACCGGGGGAACUGAAACAUCUAAGUACCCCGAGGAAAAGAAAUCAACCGAGAUUCCCCCAG
Molecule: ribosomal RNA, 242 nt
Filed under: Klebsiella oxytoca
Lineage: Bacteria; Pseudomonadati; Pseudomonadota; Gammaproteobacteria; Enterobacterales; Enterobacteriaceae
Also listed under: 2 other names
Description: partial 23S ribosomal RNA
Rfam family: Bacterial large subunit ribosomal RNA
Source: RNAcentral